Long non-coding RNA from Onychostruthus taczanowskii (white-rumped snowfinch), 4351 nucleotides. RefSeq lists it as uncharacterized. NCBI's taxonomy places the organism in Eukaryota, Metazoa, Chordata, Aves, Passeriformes, Passeridae. The transcript has 3 exons. The record is from RefSeq and is a predicted model, not a curated record.
GACAGAUUCCACUGAUUUGUCUGCUUAUUCCUCUUAUCAUUUCCUCAUAAAAAUAAUGGGAUUAAAUGAGUGUUUAGUUCCUGGUAUAGGUGUAUGUUGUGUGUGUAUACAUACACAUGCAUGCACACACAGGUAAAUUAUAUAUUUUUAAGGUUUUUUGUAUGAAUGAUGUCACUUAAGGAUAAUUUAUAUCUGAUAAAGAGUAAUUUUAAGCUUUUUUACUUGUUUAAAUAUAAUGCCCCCAUUUUAUACAAAAUUUAUUGUGUUUGGAAACUGAGUGACUACAGAAAAUGAGAGUUCCUCUACCCAACAACAUAGUCUACAUGAUGAUCACUGCCACCAGACUAUGCCUUUAGAGUCAGCAGCAUCAAAUCCAUUGCAAAUAGAUAAAUUACACCAGAGCUGUGUUUGGUUUGCUAGCUACAUGUCAGUGUUUUGCCAAAUAAGGACUUGGAUCUUGUGUAUGAUGUCAGGCAUAAGUCUGAUUUUACAUAUGCUCUUUUUCUCUAUGUAAAUUAGUUGAUGAGAUUAGGUUUUCUAAGGUUUUUGUAACUACUUCAGUUUUUUGUGACUGUGCAUUGAGAAAUGUGUCCAGUGUGUGGUGGAGAAAAGAACCUGCAAUUUAGAAGUGAGGAAAAUAAGUCUUUUUCUCAAAAGAACACAUGAACUGACUUUAUAAAUAUGGAUCAGAUUCUGCCUUCAAAAGUGUGCAAAACUCUUCCAAACACAAUGGGACCAAUAUAAGCUUAUCUGAGAGCAGAAUGUGAGCUACAAAGUCAAGCAGAAGCAUCUUUUUUUAAUCCCUGAAACCAGCUAGAGUGGUAGAACACGUGUUUUUGUUAUAUAGUUGUUGGAAGCGUCAGUCUGAUUUAGUAACUCUAUGCUGCUGAAACCCUAUGAAAAUCUGGUCAACCUCUAAUGCACUAAAACCUUGCUGGCAAAAAGAAAAAAAUCAUCUCAGAAGACAGUGUAUAAUUUCACCAGCAUUUAUUACUAAUACUAAAUACUGUCACUACUUGUCAUAGAUAAGAGUUAAAGAAACAAAGCAGAACUUCCUUAUGCGCAGUCUUUAGAAAUUACUUGUAUUUCCUAUUCUGUAUUUUUUCUUUAAAUUCUCAUUGAAACCUGAGGACUGUGAGGACUGAAAGGAAGGCAGGGUGUAGAAAAAUGAUGAGUGUUUUAUGUGUGUUAAGUUUCUUGGGUAAUGGAUCAAGUGGGAUUGAGAAAAAUAAUACACAGACAAUGGGCCUUUCAUUAAUCAUAAAAGCUUAGGGAUUGUUUUUUUAAAAAAGUGUAAAUUGGAAUAUUAAAUGUUUUUAAAGCAGUCUCCAAAGUAAGUCCUGAGCUUUCUACCACACAGGUAAAAUUAUCUCAUUUAACAAAAAGAGUGUUUCUUUACACUGACUCUGACUUUAGUGUUAGCUUAAUUGUAAAACCUUAGUUAUAGAUUAAUUCCGUAGUCUACCAACUACACCUUAACUCUCAUUUUCUUUUAAAGUAUAUAGGAUCAUUUUCCUCCUGUGUAAAUUAAAAGAUUUCAAACAACUGUUUUGAUGUGAUAAAGGUAAAAGAUUGAUAAAGGUAAAAGAUUGAUAAAGGUUGACCUGCUGUUACCCUUGUCACAAUUCAUGGCUAUUUGUGAGUGGGAAACAAUCUCUGGUUGUCUAUUUAACUUAAAUUUUAAAAAUGCUUAAUGGAGUAUAUCUAAGUAUAUAAAAAGGUUAAUUAUGUUCUUUAAACAGUGUGAUAAACCCUUUACAAAAAAAGAUUCCUCAGAAUCUACUUUCACCCAUAAUAGCCUUUAAAGCAUGUACUAAAGCAUUUACUGAAAUGAUAAAUAUUUUUUGUUUCAUUACAAAUUACUUUUCACUGUUAGAGGGAGUUCAGUUUUGUGAGUAAUGGAUGAUGAAACUGGGUUCUUGGUGGAAGAAAGACUUGAGCUGUAAUACCCAUCUUCCAGACACAUCACAUCACGCUGCUACUGCUUUUCUUCUGUAGCAUUUGGCAUUGGACUGCUGCAUGUGAAGGGGCACGGCCAGUAUUCCCUUAUCAGACACCUGCCUGAAUGUUUAAAAUGCUCUAAAAUCAAAAAGAGCAGGCUCACAGGACAAAUUGCACUGUAAGCUGCUUGCUGUCCUGAAAUUUAAAAAAAAUGUAUAUAAAUUAACCAAAAAAAAAAAAAAAAAAAAGAAAAGAAAAAAAAAAAGAAAAAAGCUUUCUUGCAUCUCCCUCAUGGUUUUGCUGUAUUGUGGAAGAGGCUGGUGAAAGAGAAUAAGCUGCUGCUAAUGUGACAGGUCAAGGCUUUUAGAAGGCCCGUGGGGAGCUUAUACAGAGCAGGAUUCUUGGGAGGAGGCUUUGUUUCUAGGGAUGGAAUCUAUCCAUGAGAAACUCUGGCUUUGCUUGGUACUUGUUUCCCUCUGCCUUUGACCAUGUUUUUCAGAAGAGCUGCUGCAGGAGAUGAAUAGCUCAACAAAAGCCUCACUAUUUAGGGAGCUGUGCUCCCUCAGCACAUGACCUUAAAUGAGAAAGCAGCCUUUAAUUCACAAGGAAUUUCUUCACUGAUUGCAGAAGGACUGUGCUUCCUAUAGUGCUUAAUAUGGGAGAUAUUAAAGACAAAUUAGUUCAUAUUAGUUUUCAAUGUAUUGUAUGUCAAAAAUGCUCAUAAAAAUAGGGGGAAAAGUAACUAACCUCAGAAUAGAGCGUUCCAAAGUUCUCAAAUAGCACUUCUUAUACUGGGCUUCUUCAAAAAAAUUUAGAAAGAAGUCCAAUAAUUCUACUGCAUGCUUAUAUCCAAAAGUAUUCCAGCGGAUACUGCUGCAUCUCAUCAUUGGUUUGGAGAAUUGUUUUUAGAUUUGGUCCCACAAAUGAAGCAUGUGCAUGACUUUUAACAGCAUAUUUGUUACUGUUAAAAUCCAUAUGUAUACUUUUCCAAUUCUAGUGCCCUUUUUUAACCUUUGACCCAUUAUUUGCCUGACACUUCAGAAACUGCAUGUUUAUGUAAUUAAAAAGUAUGUGUUUUCCUUCAGAUUUUUUUUGAGUACUAUAAAAUGAAGAAAUGCUAUGAAAUAGUUCUUUCCAAGCAUUCAUGACUAUACUAAUAAGAUUGCUACAGAAAUGUGUGGGAAAAUAGCUGUUUCAUCCAGAAAACGUGUGCAUGGUAUGCAAGGAAUUUUCAUUGUGCCCAGCUGAAAUUCUCUUACAUUUGCAAGAACGUUAAAAAUGAACCAUAAAAAGGAAGGAUGUUCGUAUGGGCAUAGUUUACAUUUUAGCUAUUAUUUACAACUGGAUUUACUUUUUCCUCUCUGUGAUGUCAUGAAAACCUGCUAUGUAAAGCAUUCUUCUGACUGCAAUGGAAAAAUAUUUUUUUCCCAGUCUGAUCAUAUAUAAUAUUUAUUUCCUGCUUAGUGUGCAUGUUUUGCAAACCAUGGGAGUAAAUGUGUGAAACAGCUUCAAGCACCCCUCCAUCCUAAAAUAGACAUAGGGUCUGGUGAUGCCCAGGGCAGAGACAUGCAAGGGCAUGGCUGCCUGUGUGGGGCUUCAAGAGGGACAGUGAGUGCUGGGGGUCCCCACAGCAUCCAUGCAGAAAUGAUGCUCUGAGAUCUCACUUUGCCUUUUGUCAGGGCAGGAAACCUCUUCAAAGUAGUGGUGCAGUGCCCUAGGUUUGCAUCUCAGGCACUUGCCCCAGACUGGGGCUGCAUUGUGUGCAGUCUCAACCCUAAUGCUGCGGGCUUUUCGCAUCUUUAUUCAUCAAAAAUGCCUGCACACAACCCAGCAAGGGACAGCCUGUAAACCUGGAUGCUGCAGCCCUCCGUUAAAGCUCCUGAAGAGCGUUUGGGCACCUGCCCAUUGACUUCCCACCAGCUCCUGGAUCUCCACCAGCCAGCCUUAAGGAAUGUAACAGUGGCUGUAAAGGGCACUUGUCACAGACGCGUUUGUGCUGAGUCAGUGCUGGGUGACUCCUACUCUGUCCCGACUGCGAGUGACGCCUGGUGACAAUGUCCUGGCUACCAUUUUGCAACAGAGGGGAAAGCAGAAAUGAAGCAAUACUUAAGAAAAACACUAAUUUUUAAUUCUGAUCUUGAGACUGCUCUGAUGCACAGAUGCCAUUGCCAAGGAAAAGGCUUGCUGCCCAGACUCUCCAAAGAGAAAAUAAACCUAAAUUACAGCCUCUAAAGCUGGAGGAGGAAAGAGAUCCUGAUUUCAGCCACUUUUUUGACACCAGUCAUGUUCUGCAACAGAGACAAGAACCUUGGAAAUGCAUUCCUGCUACCCUGGGUUUCAAACCAAGCACUUUAAUGUAUUGUAUAAAGUAAAUAAAAAUCUAGUUUUGCCAAAACUCAAGUGGUCUGAA